This 121-nucleotide ribosomal RNA is filed under the name Sphaeramia orbicularis (orbiculate cardinalfish). The record is from RNAcentral. Lineage: Eukaryota; Metazoa; Chordata; Actinopteri; Kurtiformes; Apogonidae.
GCUUACGGCCAUACCACCCUGAACACUCCCGAUCUCGUCUGAUCCUCGGCAGCAAACCAAGGGUCGGGCCUGGUCAGUACUUGGAUUGGAGACAUCCUGGGAAUACCAGGUGCUGUAAGCU